RNAcentral lists this ribosomal RNA (497 nucleotides) under uncultured bacterium. RNAcentral's name for it is "partial 16S ribosomal RNA". It matches the Rfam family "Bacterial small subunit ribosomal RNA", at positions 28 to 507 of the family's 1533-position model. The record is from RNAcentral.
GAUGAACGCUGGCGGCGUGCCUAAUACAUGCAAGUCGAGCGAACGGACGAGAAGCUUGCUUCUCUGAUGUUAGCGGCGGACGGGUGAGUAACACGUGGAUAACCUACCUAUAAGACUGGGAUAACUUCGGGAAACCGGAGCUAAUACCGGAUAAUAUUUUGAACCGCAUGGUUCAAAAGUGAAAGACGGUCUUGCUGUCACUUAUAGAUGGAUCCGCGCUGUAUUAGCUAGUUGGUAAGGUAACGGCUUACCAAGGCAACGAUGCAUAGCCGACCUGAGAGGGUGAUCGGCCACACUGGAACCGAGACACGGUCCAGACUCCUACGGGAGGCAGCAGUAGGGAAUCUUCCGCAAUGGGCGAAAGCCUGACGGAGCAACGCCGCGUGAGUGAUGAAGGUCUUCGGAUCGUAAAACUCUGUUAUUAGGGAAGAACAUAUGUGUAAGUAACUGUGCACAUCUUGACGGUACCUAAUCAGAAAGCCACGGCUAACUACGUG